Molecule: long non-coding RNA, 655 nt
Filed under: Oryza sativa tropical japonica subgroup
Lineage: Eukaryota; Viridiplantae; Streptophyta; Magnoliopsida; Poales; Poaceae
Description: lncRNA OsCMeo_05g0026100
Source: RNAcentral
AGAUUAAGUGGCGUGCAAACGGAGGACAAGAAACAGUCCAUCUUGGACGGAGGGCGAAGCGGGGCGACGGCGGGCGGAGCAGCGACGCGCGCGAAGCCGGCGGGGCGGCAGCGGGCGGAGUGGGGCAAUGGCGCAUGCGGGCGAAGAGGGGCGACGGCGGGCGGAGUGCCGACGCGUCCGAACUCCGAAACUGGCGGGGCGACGGCGCAUGCGGGCGGAGAUCGGCGCGGGGCGUACAGCGAUCGACGGCGGCCUGGGGGCCCCGACUUGCUGAUGCUGUUGAAGACGAACAGGAGGGCCUUGGCGUUGGAUCUUGCGGCUUGCCUGUGGAUCUGGAUAUGCUCGCUGCUUGCUGAUGAAGAUGCGCUUGUUGCUGACGGGAGAGCUGAUGGGAUGACGAGACCGACGGACGGUGGCUCGCCGACGAUGGAUGCUUGCUGCUUGAUACCAGCGAUCCCCACAGCGGAGGUGCGUGUCCUCCUCCUCCUCGAACCUGUCGCCAUAGUCGUCGUCGUCUUCAGCAGCAGCGGCGUCAGCAUGCGUCGUCUUCGGCGGCGUCGGGCGCCGCGUUCGGGGUGUGUAUGGGGGGAGUGCAGCGUGCGCAUGUUUGCUACAUCAGCGGCGGAGGUGGAGGUGGAGGGGUAAGGUGUGGGAU